UACGAGUACCCCAAGCGUUAUCCGGAAUCAUUGGGCGUAAAGGGUGUGUAGGUGGUCUCUUUAGUCUUCUGUUAAAAUUCCUGGCUCAACCAGGAACCUGCAGUGGAAACGGAGAGACUCGAGGGUGCGAGGGGUGAAUGGAACUCAUGGAGUAGGGGUGAAAUCCGUUGAUAUCAUGGGGAACACCAAAAGCGAAGGCAAUUCACUGGCGCACUUCUGACACUGAAACACGAAAGCGUGGGUAGCGAACGGG
Molecule: ribosomal RNA, 253 nt
Filed under: uncultured bacterium
Lineage: Bacteria
Description: partial 16S ribosomal RNA
Rfam family: Bacterial small subunit ribosomal RNA
Source: RNAcentral